Molecule: unclassified non-coding RNA, 21 nt
Filed under: Mus musculus (house mouse)
Lineage: Eukaryota; Metazoa; Chordata; Mammalia; Rodentia; Muridae
Description: oocyte_clustered_small_RNA6614
Source: RNAcentral
UAUUGGCUUCCUUAAGGCUAA